GACGAACGCUGGCGGCGUGCUUAACACAUGCAAGUCGAACGGUGAAGCGCCUUCCUUUUUGGUGGGUGUGGAUGAGUGGCGAACGGGUGAGUAACACGUGAGUAACCUGCCCCCUUCUUCUGGAUAACCGCAUGAAAGUGUGGCUAAUACGGGAUAUUCUGGGUCUGUCGCAUGAUGGGUCUGGGAAAGGUUUUUUUCUGGUGGGGGAUGGGCUCGCGGCCUAUCAGCUUGUUGGUGGGGUGAUGGCCUACCAAGGCGGUGACGGGUAGCCGGCCUGAGAGGGUGGACGGUCACACUGGGACUGAGACACGGCCCAGACUCCUACGGGAGGCAGCAGUGGGGAAUAUUGCACAAUGGGCGCAAGCCUGAUGCAGCGACGCCGCGUGAGGGAUGGAGGCCUUCGGGUUGUGAACCUCUUUCGCCAGUGAAGCAGGCCUGC
This 439-nucleotide ribosomal RNA is filed under the name Actinomyces sp. oral taxon E75. RNAcentral's name for it is "bacterial SSU rRNA". It matches the Rfam family "Bacterial small subunit ribosomal RNA", at positions 28 to 456 of the family's 1533-position model. Lineage: Bacteria; Bacillati; Actinomycetota; Actinomycetes; Actinomycetales; Actinomycetaceae. The record is from RNAcentral.